This is a long non-coding RNA of Hylaeus anthracinus, 1303 nucleotides long. RefSeq lists it as uncharacterized. The transcript has 2 exons. Lineage: Eukaryota; Metazoa; Arthropoda; Insecta; Hymenoptera; Colletidae. The record is from RefSeq and is a predicted model, not a curated record.
CCUUGUUGUACCGGUCCUUUGCCUGCACCACCUCCUCCAAAGUGUCCCCUAUUACCGCCUCCACCAAAACCUUGUUGUCCACCUUGUUGUCCAUUGCCAUGCUAUCCAAGUGAAUUCACAUAUUAUUACAAUUUAAUUAACGUUGUGUAAUUUAUAAUGUAAAUAUUUUUAUAGAUCCUUACUGUUAAAAGUAUGUCAACAUGGAUGAGCUUUACUGUGAUUAAGUACCCCCGCUUUAGAUCCCAAAAACGAAUUUUUAAUAGAAUUGUUGAUCAAGUAAGAAACGGAAGUGAGAGAAAGUUCACGUAUUGUUUAAAAUUUUUUCGACUAGUAUUAUUUUACAUGUUGUUCGAGGAAAAUACAACAGAAUUAAUAAAUGAAUUUUUAUAAUCUGUUAGAUUCGAAUUGGAGAACCCUGGAAACUUGUCGGAGCUUGUGGAAGAUAAUUAAACAAAUUUUUUGGCCGUAUACGAAUUUUUUAAAAAUUAUUAAAAUUUGCGAUCAUCAUUGCAAUUGCCAUUGGACGGAAUUUGGGAUUUAUAAAUAGUUAAGCGUGUGAAUAAAUUUCAAGAUGUUCGACAAGAAAUCAGCUGUAUCGAACAAACAAUAAACAACAUAUUUUACACAAGAAUUUUAUUCAGAUUUGAUACGGUCCCUCGAAUCGAAGCUUAAAAUAAUGACACAUAUUUUUCAAUAGAAUCACUCAAUCGAAAAUACUCUAAUUGCUUGGAGUCAAGCCUAGUUGACAACAAAUUUUUUAAGUUUCAUACAGUAAUAAUACUUGAAUAUUUAAAUUUUAAAUCGUCAAGUGGAAACGUGCUUUUCCAUUCCGUUUAUCUGAAAUUGUUGAUAUAGACGAGCUGAUUAGAAAUAAUAGAUAACUAUCAAUCGAUGAAAAGUAGCAUGGUUUUAAAUAAAUUCAUAUAAUAUAUCAUAUAUUUCUUUCACUCCAAUCGCGAUAAGCUACAUUAAGAACAAAGAGAUCGACAAAUACCUUAUUUACUAUAAAACUAGUCCCUACCGACUACUGCGGUACCAAACGCUGCAUUUAAUUUUCGUUGGAUGUUUAUCUUCUUAAGUUACUUGCUGGAAAACGCUCCCCAAGUUUGAAAAAAACACGUUACAAUAAACAAUGAAAAAUCUCGUUCGUUAACCAACCAGCAAUGCUCUCGAUGCCGUGGGCUGGAGUUACUUUGUCCUUCGAGGUAUGCAAGGUGACAUUCUACGGGGAAAUUUUGAAUAGAAACUUACAUAACUCGCUGCGUUUCUUAUAGCUGGAAAAUGUCUGAAUAAAGCAACUCGC